UACGAGGGGAGCAAGCGUUGUUCGGAUUUACUGGGCGUAAAGGGCGCGUAGGCGGCGUGACAAGUCACGUGUGAAAUCUCCGGGCUUAACCCGGAACGGUCAAGUGAAACUGUCGGGCUAGAGUACAGAAGGGGCAACUGGAAUUCUCGGUGUAGCGGUGAAAUGCGUAGAUAUCGAGAGGAACACCUGCGGCGAAGGCGGGUUGCUGGGC
Molecule: ribosomal RNA, 211 nt
Filed under: uncultured bacterium
Lineage: Bacteria
Description: partial 16S ribosomal RNA
Rfam family: Bacterial small subunit ribosomal RNA
Source: RNAcentral